Molecule: transfer RNA, 74 nt
Filed under: Planctomycetes bacterium GWF2_42_9
Lineage: Bacteria; Pseudomonadati; Planctomycetota
Also listed under: 1 other name
Description: tRNA-Asp
Rfam family: tRNA
About the family: Transfer RNA (tRNA) molecules are approximately 80 nucleotides in length. Their secondary structure includes four short double-helical elements and three loops (D, anti-codon, and T loops).
Source: RNAcentral
GGGGUCGUAGCUCAAUUGGCUAGAGCAUCGGACUGUCGAUCCGAAGGUUGAGGGUUCGAGCCCCUUCGACCUCG